RNAcentral lists this ribosomal RNA (495 nucleotides) under uncultured bacterium. RNAcentral's name for it is "partial 16S ribosomal RNA". It matches the Rfam family "Bacterial small subunit ribosomal RNA", at positions 28 to 507 of the family's 1533-position model. The record is from RNAcentral.
GACGAACGCUGGCGGCGUGCCUAAUACAUGCAAGUAGAACGCUGAAGGAGGAGCUUGCUUCUCUGGAUGAGUUGCGAACGGGUGAGUAACGCGUAGGUAACCUGCCUGGUAGCGGGGGAUAACUAUUGGAAACGAUAGCUAAUACCGCAUAAGAGUAGAUGUUGCAUGACAUUUGCUUAAAAGGUGCAAUUGCAUCACUACCAGAUGGACCUGCGUUGUAUUAGCUAGUUGGUGAGGUAACGGCUCACCAAGGCAACGAUACAUAGCCGACCUGAGAGGGUGAUCGGCCACACUGGGACUGAGACACGGCCCAGACUCCUACGGGAGGCAGCAGUAGGGAAUCUUCGGCAAUGGAAGGAAGUCUGACCGAGCAACGCCGCGUGAGUGAAGAAGGUUUUCGGAUCGUAAAGCUCUGUUGUAAGAGAAGAACGAGUGUGAGAGUGGAAAGUUCACACUGUGACGGUAUCUUACCAGAAAGGGACGGCUAACUACGUG